UUUUAAGGGUGGACACUUUGCAUUUGAAUAUCCGGAUACACAGACCACUAAACAGGGUGAGCCCAGGAGCCAUCAGCAGUAAGGUGCAUCAGAGGCCCUCGGAGCCGCCACCCCUUCCCCUGUCCUCCCUGGCCUCUCACCCCGCCAUCUGGAGCUCUCACAUGGAGUCAAGCCCCCCUGCACCUGAAGCCCCUGGCCUGGAGAAUGGAGCACCACCUCUAUCCCAUUACUCUACCUGCUGCCAGCACACACACACACACACAGGAAUACUUUCCUCUUGAAAGAAACAAAAAACUCACAACUUCUGGUCCCUGUGACAGCCUGGCCUUGGGAUGCACCCAUAUUGCCUAGAAGCACUUGGCUAAACUCACACACACACACACACACACACACACACACAAACAUAGAGACACACAGAUACACCGAAUUCCUCUAAUGUAUCAGCAAUACCCAGGAAAUAAAAUUCCAGCCCGCGGUAAUUAGGUGGGAGUGAGGCUACAUGGUCACAGACAGAUGCACGUUGCCAUGGAAAGGGGCAAGGGUAGGCUUGUCUCAUCCAUUCGGUUGCUAUGGUGAAGGACAGGCCUCUUUUGCCUCUCAAACUGGAUGUACAUUUCGGACACUGGGCCAGUCAGAGAACACGGAAACACACGGCUAGCUCAGCCGCUAGCACGGACCUCUGUUGGAUGUUAACCAAUGCUGUACAGCUUGGACUACCAGACACAGUAUAUAUCUAUGUAAAAACACAUCAAGCCCCGGCAGUGGGUGUGAACAGAGAUCUAUCUAUAUGUGGGACAUGUCGUGGAGAUUGUUUUCAAUCAGAGAUUUUGGAAGGGUUUUGUUUUUCUUUUUUUCUCUCUUCUUUUUUUGAAAAAAAAAACCCAACAAAAAACAAACAUUAUUUACACAUUCCCUUCUUCGGUGUCAUGUUGAUAUAGUGUAUGGAUGAUAAUGGUGGCAUUUAUUGUGGUUUCUGACAUUUGAAAAAAAAAAAUAAAGUGGAUGGGAGAAGUGUCCCCCUUUCUCUGGAUCUGAGGAGAACCGGUUCCUGUUUCUGUGUCCUCUGAAGAGAGCAAUUUUUUUGUAGUUUUCCUUGUACUUUUUCCUG
Molecule: long non-coding RNA, 1108 nt
Organism: Clupea harengus (Atlantic herring)
Lineage: Eukaryota; Metazoa; Chordata; Actinopteri; Clupeiformes; Clupeidae
Source: Ensembl